This 292-nucleotide ribosomal RNA is filed under the name uncultured bacterium. RNAcentral's name for it is "partial 16S ribosomal RNA". The record is from RNAcentral. RNAcentral also lists the same sequence under 2 other names.
GGACUACCAGGGUAUCUAAUCCCGUUCGCUCCCCUGGCUUUCGCGCCUCAGCGUCAGGUGAGAUCCAGCGUGUCGCUUUCGCCACCGGAGUUCCUUCCGAUAUCAACGCAUUUCACCGCUCCACCGGAAGUUCCACACGCCCCUAUCUCCCUCCAGGCGGCCGGUAUCGAAGGCUGUUGUCCGGUUGAGCCGAACGAUUUCACCCCCGACCGGGCCGCCCGCCUACGCGCCCUUUAAGCCCAGUGAUUCCGAACAACGUUCGCACGGUUCGUCUUACCGCGGCUGCUGGCAC